ACGAACGCUGGCGGCGUGCUUAACACAUGCAAGUCGAACGGAGAUUAUUAAUGAAGCUUGCGAUUUAAUAAUCUUAGUGGCGGACGGGUGAGUAACGCGUGGGCAACCUACCCAUAAGCGGGGGAUAACAGUUGGAAACGACUGCUAAUACCGCAUAAGCUAUUGAGGUCGCAUGACCUAAAUAGUAAAGGUGGCGAAAGCUAUCACUUAUGGAUGGGCCCGCGUCUGAUUAGCUAGUUGGUGGGAUAGCAGCCUACCAAGGCAACGAUCAGUAGCCGGCCUGAGAGGGUGGACGGCCACACUGGGACUGAGACACGGCCCAGACUCCUACGGGAGGCAGCAGUGGGGAAUAUUGCGCAAUGGGGGAAACCCUGACGCAGCGACGCCGCGUGAGCGAAGAAGGCCUUAGGGUCGUAAAGCUCUGUUGUAAGGGACGAAUGUUUAUCUGGCGAACAGUCAGAUAAAGUGACGGUACCCUACCAGCAAGCCCCGGCUAACUACGUG
This 504-nucleotide ribosomal RNA is filed under the name uncultured bacterium. Its description in RNAcentral is "bacterial SSU rRNA". It matches the Rfam family "Bacterial small subunit ribosomal RNA", at positions 29 to 507 of the family's 1533-position model. The record is from RNAcentral.